AGGGGGCUAGCGUUGUUCGGAAUCACUGGGCGUAAAGGGCGCGUAGGCGGCCGAUCAAGUCGGGGGUGAAAGCCUGUGGCUUAACCACAGAAUGGCCUUCGAUACUGUUUGGCUUGAGACCGGAAGAGGUUAGUGGAACUGCGAGUGUAGAGGUGAAAUUCGUAGAUAUUCGCAAGAACACCAGUGGCGAAGGCGGCUGACUGGUCCGGUUCUGACGCUGAGGCGCGAAAGCGUGGGGAGCAAACAGG
This 248-nucleotide ribosomal RNA is filed under the name uncultured bacterium. RNAcentral describes it as "partial 16S ribosomal RNA". It matches the Rfam family "Bacterial small subunit ribosomal RNA", at positions 529 to 776 of the family's 1533-position model. The record is from RNAcentral.